This 76-nucleotide transfer RNA is filed under the name Pantoea ananatis. RNAcentral's name for it is "tRNA-Ala". It matches the Rfam family "tRNA". From Rfam's summary of the family: Transfer RNA (tRNA) molecules are approximately 80 nucleotides in length. Their secondary structure includes four short double-helical elements and three loops (D, anti-codon, and T loops). Further hydrogen bonds mediate the characteristic L-shaped molecular structure. tRNAs have two regions of fundamental functional importance: the anti-codon, which is responsible for specific mRNA codon recognition, and the 3' end, to which the tRNAs corresponding amino acid is attached (by aminoacyl-tRNA synthetases). tRNAs cope with the degeneracy of the genetic code in two manners: having more than one tRNA (with a specific anti-codon) for a particular amino acid; and 'wobble' base-pairing, i.e. permitting non-standard base-pairing at the 3rd anti-codon position. Lineage: Bacteria; Pseudomonadati; Pseudomonadota; Gammaproteobacteria; Enterobacterales; Erwiniaceae. The record is from RNAcentral.
GAGGCUAUAGCUCAGCUGGGAGAGCGCCUGCCUUGCACGCAGGAGGUCAGCGGUUCGAUCCCGCUUAGCUCCACCA